This 253-nucleotide ribosomal RNA is filed under the name uncultured bacterium. RNAcentral describes it as "partial 16S ribosomal RNA". It matches the Rfam family "Bacterial small subunit ribosomal RNA", at positions 524 to 776 of the family's 1533-position model. The record is from RNAcentral.
UACGUAGGGGGCAAGCGUUGUCCGGAAUCAUUGGGCGUAAAGCGCGUGUAGGCGGCCCGAUAAGUCCGCUGUGAAAGUCCAGGGCUCAACCCUGGGAUGCCGGUGGAUACUGUCGGGCUAGAGUCCGGAAGAGGCGAGUGGAAUUCCUGGUGUAGCGGUGGAAUGCGCAGAUAUCAGGAGGAACACCGAUGGCGAAGGCAGCUCGCUGGGACGGUACUGACGCUGAGGCGCGAAAGCGUGGGGAGCGAACAGG